This 2863-nucleotide long non-coding RNA is filed under the name Lactuca sativa (garden lettuce). Its description in RNAcentral is "long non-coding RNA (LSAT_LNC007465)". The record is from RNAcentral. Lineage: Eukaryota; Viridiplantae; Streptophyta; Magnoliopsida; Asterales; Asteraceae.
UGUUCACUAAGUGUUUUAGAACUAAGUAUUCACCAGAUGUUUUGAAUUAAUUGUUCACUAGGAGUGUUAGAACUAGGUGUUUGUUAAGUAUGUCGAACUAAGUGUUUACCAUUCGUAAUUUGUGGACGUUGGUAGUGGUGGACUUUGUGUCAAUUCCUUAGGUCAAUCCUUAGGAAUAAAUGGAUAAAUGACAGUUGAUUCUUAGGGUAAAUCCUUAAGAAAUAAAGGAGAUAAUGGGAAUGAGUAUUUGGGUUGAUUGUUUGAUAAUUGAAUAUAAUAAUUGUAUUAUUGUGGGUUGAAAACCCUAUAUGCUCACCAGGCUCCCAAGCCUGACCCACUCAGUUUUCUUUGCAUUAUAGGUAAUGGCACAAGGGUAUAAGUUGAUGGACUUGACGAGAGAUUUUGGAUUAUAGAUAAGUAGUUAUAAAUAACUGUUGUAAGGUCUAUUUUAUAUUGUUUAUGCUUUUGGUCUGUAUUGGAACAUGACAUGCCGAGGUUUUAUUAUUUAAUGAAAAUACAUUCUCUUUGAGAAACGUUUUGAUAAAUUUUAUCAUAUUUUGUUUUCGGAACAAAUUCCACAACUCUUUUAAUCAAAAGGAUUUGCUCUGAUUUUAUAAAACAAAACAUAAACAAAUCGGUCUUUUCUGGCCGUGAAAUUGGGGAUGUCACAGUUGGUAUCAGAGCCUGAGUUUAAGCGAACUAGGAAUUUGUAGGAAAUUUCUAGACUUAGACUUAGAAUGCUAAGUAAUGAUUGUGAGGAGUGCGUCUAAAAUAUGAUAGGUAGUUCACCUAAAUUGACACAAGCACUAGUUUAUUUUAGGAAUGAUGCCUAAAAUGCUUUUAUGUGCUAAUUGUUUUGUGUGAUAGCUAAAUUGAUGCUAUUAUUUGUUCGGAUCUAUGGAAUCAUUAUGAAAGCCCUAUUUCGUUGAUGAUUCCGGGACGUAAUCAUCCUAAGGGGGAGAUAAUUGUAAAGCCCGUAGACCCGGGCUAGUCAAUUUAGAGACAAUAAGCAUCAAAAAUGACUUUUUGAUGGAAGAUUACUUAGAAGGAUUAAUCUUAACCAAGUUGUAGUAUAUUUCACAAGGUUUCCGUGCAUAUAAAGAACACCAAAAUCUGAGUUAUAACGAAGAAGUUAUGACAUGUCGAAGUUUCGCGACAGAACCAGCACGACCUAGCGCGACCCAACGACGUAAAUAGUGAAUUUAAGGUAGAUAGAUAUUUAUCCUUAGUGAUCUAAACGAGAGUCGAAGAUGUCUUCGAUAGUAGUCCAACGAUAAAAAGAUAGACGAAAACGGAGUUCAGAUGAAGGAGUUAUGAAUUUCGAACGGAGUUUUCCCGUCCCGGCCUACAAAAGAUAAUAUAUAAGUAAUAUAUUUAUAAUAUAUUAAAAAUAAAUCAAAAUUAUCCAAUGGAGUCUAAAAGAGAGUUGUAGAGAAUAAUCUCACCUACGCGUCGAUAUAAAAAACGUCGAAAACGGAGUUCUUAUGGGAAAGUUAUGAAUUUCUGAAGUUUGGGCGCGAAACCCCAAAACUGUCAGAUACCACGAUGUGGCAAGCAGUGCCACGACGUGGCAAGUCUUCUAACACCUCCGGGAGUCCCCCAGAUGCAACUUGCAAUGACGCAUUCAGUGACGAUCAAGCCCACGACGUGGAAAAAGGUGGCACGACGUGGCAAUGGCAGAUUUUGCCCUAUAAAUAGAUUUGAAGGGCCAUCCGUUUAGGGUUGCUAUUUUCUCUUCUCUCUCUCCCGUUUUACCUCGAUUUACAUGAAAAGAAGUACCCACGAAACCCCGGUAUCAACCACGAGACCCGAAGCAAGUACCGAAGCCCGAAGAUCCAGAGAAGAAAAGAGUUUCCAAGCCGAAGCUCUACCCGCGAGAAGCCCAGUGUGCGAAGUGAUCCCGGUUUCACCGAAUAAUACUACUCUUAGAGCUGUAGUGCUGUCUGAGCAUCGUCUAACCAAGUGAGUGUGUGGUUACUUUCUUCUAACGCAUAAAUACGAAGUAUUUUAUACGAAAUACGUGUUAUGUGUAUAUUUUGUUGUUAUAUGUGUGAAUGUAUAUUCACUUUCUUCUACCGCAUAGAUAUAAAGUAUUUGCUAUGAAGUACGUGCUAGGUGUUUAUACAUUCUUUGUUUACUUGAGCUAGAUGUUGAAAUAAUGUUUUAUACAUGUUUUAAAAGAUUUAAACUGAAUAUGUGUUUGCAUCUACAAAUAUGUUGGGUAGAACAUGGGUAGAUGAAAUAGUUGAUGUGAGACGAAAUAAUAAGUAUUUUUGAACUCAAUGUGUUCAUUAGGUAUUUUUGAACUCUAUGUGUUCACUUGGCGUUUGAAAUCAAUGUGUUCAUUAGGAAUUUCUGAACUCUAUGUGUUCACUUGUUGUUUGAACUCAAUGUGUUCAUUAGGUAUUUUUGAACUCUAUGUGUUCACUUGGUGUUUGAACUCAAUGUGUUCAUUAGGUAUUUCCGAACUCUAUGUGUUCACUUGGUAUUUUUGGACUCAAUGUGUUCAUUAAGUAUUUUUGAACUAGAUGUGUUCACUUGGUGUUGUUGAACUGAGUGUGUUCACUAAGUGUUUUAGAACUAAGUAUUCACCAGAUGUUUUGAAUUAAUUGUUCACUAGGAGUGUUAGAACUAGGUGUUUGUUAAGUAUGUUGAACUAAGUGUUUACCAAUCGUAAUUUGUGGACCUUGGCAGUGGUGGACUUUGUGUCAAUUCCUUAGGUCAAUCCUUAGGAAUAAAUGGAUAAAGGAUAGUUGAUUCUUAUAGUAAAUCCUUAAGAAAUAAAGGAGAUAAUGGGAAUGAGUAUUUGGGUUGAUUGUUUGAUAAUUGAAUAUAAUAAAUGUAUUAUUGUGGGUUGAAAACC